Molecule: ribosomal RNA, 2453 nt
Filed under: Bacteroidota bacterium
Lineage: Bacteria; Pseudomonadati; Bacteroidota
Description: Bacteroidetes bacterium (activated sludge metagenome) partial 23S ribosomal RNA
Rfam family: Bacterial large subunit ribosomal RNA
Source: RNAcentral
AUAAAGUUACUAAGGGCGCAUGGUGGAUGCCUUGGCUCUCAGAGGCUAUGAAGGACGUGCUAGGCUGCGAUAAGCAUGGAGGAGGUGUCUAGAACCUUUGAUUCCGUGAUUUCCGAAUGGGGAAACCCUCCCGAUUUAUCGGGACUUUUUUGGCUAACCCGCUGAACUGAAACAUCUAAGUAAGCGGUGGAAAAGAAAAUAAUAAUGAUUUCCUAAGUAGUGGCGAGCGAACAGGAAAUAGCCCAAACCAUAUAUGUUGCGGCAUAUAUGGGGUUGUAGGACUGCAUUUAGAAUAAAACAUUUGAGUUGAAUCACUUGGGAAGGUGAGCCAUAGAGGGUGACAGCCCCGUAAUCGAAGAAUAGUUUAUUUGAGCAGUAUCCUGAGUACCGCGGGGUUGGAGAAGCCUUGCGGGAAUUUGCCGGCACCAUCCGGUAAGGCUAAAUACUCCUGAGAGACCGAUAGUGAACUAGUACCGUGAGGGAAAGGUGAAAAGUAUUUCGAACAGAAAGGUGAAAAGAACCUGAAACCAUGCGCUUACAAGCGGUCGGAGUCCCGCACUUGCGGGAUGACGGCGUGCCUUUUGCAUAAUGAGCCUACGAGUUACUACUUACUGGCAAGAUUAAUCCGCUCAGCGGAGCAGUCGUAGCGAAAGCGAGUCUGAAUAGGGCGAUAAGUCAGUAGGUGUAGACGCGAAACUUUGUGAUCUACCCAUGAGCAGGAUGAAAUUGCCGUAACAGGCAAUGGAGGUCCGAACCAGUUUACGUUGAAAAGUAUUUGGAUGACUUGUGGGUAGGGGUGAAAGGCUAAUCAAACUGAGAGAUAGCUCGUACUCCCCGAAAUGUUUUUAGGAACAGCGUCAGGUAUAAGUUUUAUAGAGGUAGAGCUACUAAUUGGGCAAGGGGGAGUCAAAUCCUACCGAACUCAGAUAAACUCCGAAUACUAUAAAAUGUUUCCUGGCAGUGAGCCCCGGGGUGCUAAGGUCACGGGGCGAGAGGGAAAGAACCCAGAUCAUCAGCUAAGGUCCCUAAAUCUAUUCUAAGUUGAACUAAUGUGGUUUAAUUGCAUUGACAGCUAGGAUGUUUGCUUGGAAGCAGCAAUUCAUUUAAAGAGUGCGUAACAGCUCACUAGUCGAGCGAUUGAGCAUGAAUAAUGAACGGGCAUAAGAAUAGUACCGAAGCUAUGAUCCCGUGUAAACGGGAGGUAGGGGAGCAUUCCAUUAUCAGCGAAGGUGUGGCACGAGCCAUGCUGGAGAUUAUGGAAAAGCAAAUGUAGGCAUAAGUAACGAUAAUAAAGGUGAAAAACCUUUACGCCGAUAGUCUAAGGUUUCCUGAUCAAUGUUAGUCAGAUCAGGGUUAGUCGGGUCCUAAGGCUAACCGAUUUAGGGAAGUCGAUGGAAAGCAGGUUAAUAUUCCUGCACCAGCUGAGAAGGACGGAGAAAUGUGGUAACUACGUAUCUGACGGAAUAGUGCGUUGAGCCUAGCCUUCGGGCAAAGCGAAGUUAUAAAGUUUCUUCCAAGAAAAGUUCCAGCAUUAGCCCGUACCGCAAACCGACACAGGUAGACAAGGAGAGUAUCCUGAGGCGCUCGAGUGAAUCGUGGUUAAGGAACUCGGCAAAUUUACCCUGUAACUUAGGGAGAAGGGGAUCCCGCUUUUGCGGGACGCAGAGAAAUGGUCCAGGCGACUGUUUAGCAAAAACACAUGGAUCUGCUAAAUCGAAAGAUGAUGUAUAGGUCCUGACACCUGCCCGGUGCCGGAAGGUUAAGAGGGGGGGUCAUCUCGCUUGUCGGGAGAAGCCCUGAAUUGAAGAAGCCCCGGUAAACGGCGGCCGUAACUAUAACGGUCCUAAGGUAGCGAAAUUCCUUGUCGGGUAAGUUCCGACCUGCACGAAUGGUGUAACGAUCUGGACGCUGUCUCAACCACGAGCUCGGUGAAAUUGUAGUAUCGGUGAAGAUGCCGGUUAACCGCAACGGGACGGAAAGACCCCAUGCACCUUCACUACAGCUUUGCAUUGGUUUUGGUUAAAUGAUGUGUAGGAUAGGUGGGAGACUUUGAAGCAGUGUCGCUAGGCAUUGUGGAGUCAUUGGUGAAAUACCACCCUUCAUUUAAUUGAAAUCUAAUCCCGUCUUUGCGGGAGACAUUGCAUGGUGGGUAGUUUGACUGGGGUGGUCGCCUCCGAAAUUGUAUCGGAGGCUUUCAAAGGUAUCUUCAGUACGGUCGGUAAUCGUGCGUAGAGUGCAAUAGCAUAAAGAUGCUUGACUGCGAGACCCACAAGUCGAGCAGGGUCGAAAGACGGAUAUAGUGAUCCGGUGGUUCUGUAUGGAAAGGCCAUCGCUCAUAGGAUAAAAGGUACGCUGGGGAUAACAGGCUGAUCUCCCCCAAGAGCUCACAUCGACGGGGAGGUUUGGCACCUCGAUGUCGGCUCGUCACAUCCUGGGGCUGGAGAAGGUCCCAA